RNAcentral lists this ribosomal RNA (468 nucleotides) under uncultured bacterium. RNAcentral's name for it is "partial 16S ribosomal RNA". It matches the Rfam family "Bacterial small subunit ribosomal RNA", at positions 28 to 507 of the family's 1533-position model. The record is from RNAcentral.
GACGAACGCUGGCGGCGCGCCUAACACAUGCAAGUCGAACGGAGCUGAGAGAAGCUUGCUUUUCUUAGCUUAGUGGCGAACGGGUGAGUAACGCGUGAAUAACCUGCCCUGGAGUGGGGGACAACAGUUGGAAACGACUGCUAAUACCGCAUAAGCCCACGAUCCGGCAUCGGAUUGAGGGAAAAGGAUUUAUUCGCUUCAGGAUGGACUCGCGUCCAAUUAGCUAGUUGGUGAGGUAACGGCCCACCAAGGCGACGAUUGGUAGCCGGACUGAGAGGUUGAACGGCCACAUUGGGACUGAGACACGGCCCAGACUCCUACGGGAGGCAGCAGUGGGGGAUAUUGCACAAUGGGGGAAACCCUGAUGCAGCGACGCCGCGUGGAGGAAGAAGGUUUUCGGAUUGUAAACUCCUGUCGUUAGGGACGAUAAUGACGGUACCUAACAAGAAAGCACCGGCUAACUACGUG